CCCUUAGAUGUCCUGGGCCGCACGCGCGCUACACUGACAUGUUCAACAAGCCUCCUAGUUCGACAGGAUUUGGGAAAUCUUUGAACGCAUGUCGUGAUAGGGAUAGAUCAUUGCAAUUAUUGAUCUUGAACGAGGAAUUCCUAGUAAACGCGAGUCAUCAGCUCGCAUUGAUUACGUCCCUGCCCUUUGUACACACCGCCCGUCGCACCUACCGAUUGAAUGUUUCGGUGAAGAUUCCGGAUAGGACUUUUUUGAUUUAUUUCAAUUCUGUCUUAAAAGCUAUCUAAACCUCAACAUUUAGAGGAAGGAGAAGUCGUAACA
This 321-nucleotide ribosomal RNA is filed under the name uncultured eukaryote. RNAcentral describes it as "partial 18S ribosomal RNA". It matches the Rfam family "Eukaryotic small subunit ribosomal RNA", at positions 1470 to 1796 of the family's 1831-position model. The record is from RNAcentral.